UUUGCAUGUAAAAAAGAAUACUGACCACAGUGGCUAAGCCAAAGAGUGGCUCAUUUUUCUGAUGUAACCGUCUGGAGGUGGUCAGUCCGGGGCUUAUGUAGCUGCUCAUGGAUGUUGCCAAGGACCCAGGACCUUCCAGCUUCCUGCUCUACCAUCAUCAGACCCGGUGCUCGUCUUCUUCAUUGAAUGGCUGUUCCACCUCCAUGACCACAUCUGUGUUCUAUGCUGGAAAUAGAAGAAAAUAGCGAAGGGCUAUAAGGAUGAACUAGGCUGACCUUUUGCAAAGCCACAACAAUCCACACUCCCGGGGGAGCACAGGACGGUCUACCACACGCUCAGAGUAGCCAAUUCUUGGCGGACUCUCAACCACUGCGCCACCACGGAAGCCCCUGUUGAGCACGUUUAAAAAAUGGUACAGAACAGAAAAGAAUGGAACAGACCAGAGUGCAUUGUGUGCCGUGACGGAUUACAGAAAGUGAGAUUGAGAAACCCUCUUUCCUCAGUUGGUCCAGGAUCAACCAACUUUCCACUCUACAAGCGCUACCUGGCGGCAUCUCUGUCUUCUGUGAUAAAUUAAAAUCACUUAACAACCCUGGGCCCAAAGCGG
Molecule: non-coding RNA, 607 nt
Organism: Kogia breviceps (pygmy sperm whale)
Lineage: Eukaryota; Metazoa; Chordata; Mammalia; Artiodactyla; Physeteridae
Source: RefSeq, a predicted model, not a curated record